CCUCCUCUCCUUUCAGUCAAUCCUCUCGGCCGCUUGACAGCUCGCCGGCCGCCGCCAGCCGGCUCCUUGCGGCCAUGCUCCCUUCCCUGCAUCCCCUCCCUCGGUCCCUCCAUCUGCUGCUCCGCGCCUCCGCACUGUGCGCUGGCCGUGCCCCGGUCAGAUUCAUGGAUGGGGAGGCGGUAGAGCAAGGGGCCAGCGGCGGCGUGGAUGCUCCUGCUGGACACGGCCGGGGACGUGGAGUGUCAGCGGCGGCAACAGCACCAGGCAGCAAGGUCGCUUGCUAGUUGCUACACAGUGUGUCCCUCAAGUGUUCGUUGAAAUGCCAAUGCAAACAAGUGCACACUGUGUUUGGUGGAAUGCUUGCCAAAGCCUUCCGUUCAGUUCGGAAGCCAAUGGGAAACUAUGGAAUUGAGCAA
Molecule: long non-coding RNA, 416 nt
Organism: Panicum virgatum (switchgrass)
Lineage: Eukaryota; Viridiplantae; Streptophyta; Magnoliopsida; Poales; Poaceae
Exons: 2
Source: RefSeq, a predicted model, not a curated record